CAGUAGCCGCGGUAAUACGAACCGUGCGAACGUUAUUCGGAAUCACUGGGCUUAAAGCGCGUGUAGGCGGGCCGCCACGUCGGCUGCUGAAAUCCCCCGGCUCAACCGGGGAAGUAGCACCGAUACGAGCGGCCUCGAGGGGGGUAGGGGGCACUGGAACUUCCGGUGGAGCGGUGAAAUGCGUUGAGAUCGGAAGGAACGCCCGUGGCGAAAGCGAGUGCCUGGACCCUUUCUGACGCUGAGACGCGAAAGCCAGGGGAGCGAACGGGAUUAGAUACCCGCGUAGUCCCUGUCUCUUAUA
This 301-nucleotide ribosomal RNA is filed under the name uncultured bacterium. Its description in RNAcentral is "partial 16S ribosomal RNA". It matches the Rfam family "Bacterial small subunit ribosomal RNA", at positions 509 to 807 of the family's 1533-position model. The record is from RNAcentral.